Molecule: non-coding RNA, 434 nt
Organism: Chiloscyllium plagiosum (whitespotted bambooshark)
Lineage: Eukaryota; Metazoa; Chordata; Chondrichthyes; Orectolobiformes; Hemiscylliidae
Source: RefSeq, a predicted model, not a curated record
UCGGGAGCAAUUUACACAGCUUAAGGCCGAGGCAACUGUAGUAAUAGUCACCAAUAUGAGUGAUUAAAAUAGCAGGUGUUCAAAAGGAGUGCAGAUACCUCAGAUGGUUUGGACCUGGAGGAGAUGACAGAGAUAAGAAAUUAGAGAAGUCAAGAGUGUAGACUUCACGAAGAUGGAUAUGAUGAACAGAAAACAGGCAUUCUCUUGGCAUUCUAGGAUGAUCCUGGAAGACUGAAAAUGUCCUGGGAUCUAACAUCCCGAGAGCUGGUCUGACCAAGUCUUACAUCUGAGAUUGUUACACUUCGUCACAAUGUGCUGGAUUGGGAUUUCGAACUUCAGCCAGCUACUCUGAGGAAUGUUGCCAAUAGUGAGACAGAGCUAACAUUGGCAUACUAUCUAUAUCCAUAGAGCUAUCAGUAAAACUCCACACUGGA